CCUACGGGAGGCAGCAGUGGGGAAUAUUGGACAAUGGGGGGAACCCUGAUCCAGCCAUGCCGCGUGUGUGAAGAAGGCCCUCGGGUUGUAAAGCACUUUCAGUGAGGAAGAACGCCUGGUGGUUAAUACCCAUCAGGAAAGACAUCACUCACAGAAGAAGCACCGGCUAACUCCGUGCCAGCAGCCGCGGUAAUACGGAGGGUGCGAGCGUUAAUCGGAAUUACUGGGCGUAAAGCGCGCGUAGGUGGCUUGAUAAGCCGGUUGUGAAAGCCCCGGGCUCAACCUGGGAACGGCAUCCGGAACUGUCAAGCUAGAGUGCAGGAGAGGAAGGUAGAAUUCCCGGUGCAGCGGUGAAAUGCGUAGAGAUCGGGCGGAAUACCAGUGGCGAAGGCGGCCUUCUGGACUGACACUGACACUGAGGUGCGAAAGCGUGGGUAGCAAACAGGAUUAGAUACCCGGGUAGUC
RNAcentral lists this ribosomal RNA (465 nucleotides) under Vreelandella stevensii. Its description in RNAcentral is "partial 16S ribosomal RNA". It matches the Rfam family "Bacterial small subunit ribosomal RNA", at positions 338 to 795 of the family's 1533-position model. Lineage: Bacteria; Pseudomonadati; Pseudomonadota; Gammaproteobacteria; Oceanospirillales; Halomonadaceae. The record is from RNAcentral.